Molecule: ribosomal RNA, 492 nt
Filed under: uncultured bacterium
Lineage: Bacteria
Description: bacterial SSU rRNA
Rfam family: Bacterial small subunit ribosomal RNA
Source: RNAcentral
GAUGAACGCUAGCUACAGGCUUAACACGAUGCAAGUCGAGGGGCAGCAUGAACUUAGCUUGCUAAGUUUGAUGGCGACCGGCGCACGGGUGAGUAACACGUAUCCAACCUGCCGAUGACUCGGGGAUAGCCUUUCGAAAAGAAAGNUUAAUACCCGAUGGCAUAUUUCUUCCGCAUGGUAGAACUAUUAAAGAAUUUCGGUCAUCGAUGGGGAUGCGUUCCAUUAGGUUGUUGGCGGGGUAACGGCCCACCAAGCCUUCGAUGGAUAGGGGUUCUGAGAGGAAGGUCCCCCCACAUUGGAACUGAGACACGGUCCAAACUCCUACGGGAGGCAGCAGUGAGGAAUAUUGGUCAAUGGACGAGAGUCUGAACCAGCCAAGUAGCGUGAAGGAUGACUGCCCUAUGGGUUGUAAACUUCUUUUAUACGGGAAUAAAGUGAGGCACGUGUGCCUUUUUGUAUGUACCGUAUGAAUAAGGAUCGGCUAACUCCGUG